AGCGAACGCUGGCGGCAUGCCUAACACAUGCAAGUCGCACGGGGGGGCUUCGGCCUCCCAGUGGCGGACGGGUGAGGAACGCGUAGGGACCUGUCGAGGGGUGGGGGAUAACCGCGGGAAACUGCGGCUAAUACCGCAUGACGCCGCGGCGUGACAGCCGGGGCCAAAGGCGAAAGCCGCCCGCCGAGGGGCCUGCGUCCGAUUAGCUGGUUGGCGGGGUAGCGGCCCACCAAGGCGUCGAUCGGUAGCUGGUCUGAGAGGGUGAUCAGCCAGACCGGGACUGAGACACGGCCCGGACUCGUACGGGAGGCAGCAGUGGGGAAUAUUGGACAAUGGGCGCAAGCCUGAUCCAGCAAUGCCGCGUGGGUGAAGAAGGUCUUCGGAUUGUAAAGCCCUUUCGGCGGGGACGAUGGUGACGGUACCCGCAGAAGAAGCCCCGGCUAACUUCGUG
Molecule: ribosomal RNA, 451 nt
Filed under: uncultured bacterium
Lineage: Bacteria
Description: partial 16S ribosomal RNA
Rfam family: Bacterial small subunit ribosomal RNA
Source: RNAcentral